CCCUGAACUCACCUGAGGCCACCCCCACCGCCCCAGCCGAGUAUUAAAACAAGGCAGGCUGAAUAAAGCGACAGGUGCACCUCGGCUACACAUUACACGGAAACACAGCACAUGAACAACAAGCGAGUCUCCAAACACAAAUUAGUCGGCAACAACAGUUGGUUUGGAUGGCAUCACAGUGCCUCAGCAGCGUGUUGACAAACGCCAACUUCACAAUGUAUCAGAAUGGUGUGCCUGAUAUGCUGCCGCAUCAAGGCAGCCAGCACAACAGCAACCUGGCCUAUGGCUCCUACAACGGUCUGUGGUAUGGUCAGAUGAAUCCCCUCUCCUGGACGGCGGAAAAUGUGAUGGAGUGGAUCAGCGCCCAGGCUGACAGCGCCAAGUUUGACGCCAGUACCCUAACUCUGUCCUACUGCGCCAUGGACGGCCACAGCUUGUGCCAGAUGACCCUGGAGCAGAUGACCAUGGUGUUUGGACCUCAGCUUGGUCCGCACCUUCACCAAAACUUGCAAGAACACAAAGCCAAAUAUGAACUGACAAGCCUAUCAGGACCAGAGCUAAAUGAAACGUGCCAGCUCCUCGAAGGGUUCCUACACAACCUAAACCUCCCAGACAACGUGUCCUUCCCCUUGAUCAGCACCGUCAAAUUUGGUGAAGACUCGCUCGGUAAAAUGGCAUUGGACAACGGUGAUAACGGAGAUGCGCUCAGCCUGAUCAUGGGGGCCAUGACACCUGUGGCGGACGAGUAUCUGUCCGAUAAUCAGUCUGAAAGCGAGUGGAGCUCUUCAUCCAACAGCGGCCUGUUUGGCUUCUCCAACCUUGGCUCACCGGAGGAGUCUGGCAGUGGAGAAUCUGACCCGGAGUUCUCCUACCCUGCGAUUUCAAAAACGCUGAUUAAGAAGGAGAAAGCAGAGUCGCAAAUGAAACGGCCACGGGGGCGACCUCCCAAAGUCAACAGAGAGCACAGCCAUAUUUACGACCCUUCGAAGAAAAGUAAACAUGGCGCCGUCUACCCGCGUGAGCUCACAUGGGCGCCCUGCCCUGUUUGUUGUCCGCAGCACCUCGGGGGACUCAUCUUUGGGAGUUCAUCCGAGAUAUUCUCAUUCACCCGGAAAAGAACCAGGGCCUGAUGAAGUGGGAAGACCGCCGCGAGGGCGUUUUCAAGUUCCUCAAGUCUGAGGCCGUGGCUCAAAUGUGGGGCCAAAAGAAGAAGAACAGCAGCAUGACGUACGAGAAACUCAGUCGCGCUAUGAGGUACUACUACAAACGCGAGAUCCUGGAGCGGGUCGACGGACGGCGGCUGGUCUACAAGUUUGGAAAGAAUUCCAGCGGGUGGAAGGUCGAAGAGCUGGGAAUGAGCAUGUGAAGCUUUCAUUCUCCACGGCAGUUGAACCGAAAGCGUCAAAGUCGUUCCGAACUCGAACGACCUGCUUGUCCUGUCAACGGGAAAAUGUCGCUGCCCAAAUGUUAAGACACGAACUUCCUUUUUGAAGGAAGGUGUUGCAGAAAACGUAAGCCACUCUUUUGGGCUCCUGUAGGUUUUGUGAACCGAUUUUAACCUUGUUGUGUACGUAUGCACGUGCUUGAUUGACAUGAAACUCAAAUGUUUUCUUGCAUUGUAUUCCUACGUUUUAUUUUUGAAAAUAAGUCGGGCUUUGUGACUUCCAAUGAGCUGAGCUGAGCUGAGCUGAGCUGAGAAUCUACUGGAUUUCCUUCUCUUAUACUCACUGGAAAAGUGUAAACAACAACAUCAACAACAACAACAACCAUAUUGUCGCAACGUGUAGUUGGACUUCACUUGCGCAUGGAACGAUUGUAACAACGCGGGCUACGUCUUUUGCCAUCACUUAUUGUAAAGUGAUUUGUUUUGAAGAGAAAUAAGUGGGCUUUUGCAAUUUAGAAACGUUUCAUCUGCUUGUACCUUUUGUCAUGGCCAUCCACCAACGUGUCCCCCACUUUGGAUGUGGGAUGAAAACGUGACAUAGCUUCUGUAUUUAUUUCCUUUUUACGCACCUUGGCUGUAAAGAUUUGUACGUGAAUGAAACAAUAAAUGUUUGAAUGAAAA
RNA transcript from Syngnathus typhle (broad-nosed pipefish), 2065 nucleotides. It is a transcript of the gene named E74-like factor 3 (ets domain transcription factor, epithelial-specific), with no coding region annotated. NCBI's taxonomy places the organism in Eukaryota, Metazoa, Chordata, Actinopteri, Syngnathiformes, Syngnathidae. The transcript is spliced from 9 exons. The record is from RefSeq and is a predicted model, not a curated record.